GAUGAACGCUGGCGGCGUGCCUAAUACAUGCAAGUCGAGCGAACGGACGAGAAGCUUGCUUCUCUGAUGUUAGCGGCGGACGGGUGAGUAACACGUGGAUAACCUACCUAUAAGACUGGGAUAACUUCGGGAAACCGGAGCUAAUACCGGAUAAUAUUUUGAACCGCAUGGUUCAAAAGUGAAAGACGGUCUUGCUGUCACUUAUAGAUGGAUCCGCGCUGCAUUAGCUAGUUGGUAAGGUAACGGCUUACCAAGGCAACGAUGCAUAGCCGACCUGAGAGAGUGAUCGGCCACACUGGAACUGAGACACGGUCCAGACUCCUACGGGAGGCAGCAGUAGGGAAUCUUCCGCAAGGGGCGAAAGCCUGACGGAGCAACGCCGCGUGAGUGAUGAAGGUCUUCGGAUCGUAAAACUCUGUUAUUAGGGAAGAACAUAUGUGUAAGUAACUGUGCACAUCUUGACGGUACCUAAUCAGAAAGCCACGGCUAACUACGUG
This 497-nucleotide ribosomal RNA is filed under the name uncultured bacterium. RNAcentral describes it as "partial 16S ribosomal RNA". It matches the Rfam family "Bacterial small subunit ribosomal RNA", at positions 28 to 507 of the family's 1533-position model. The record is from RNAcentral.